This 253-nucleotide ribosomal RNA is filed under the name uncultured bacterium. RNAcentral describes it as "partial 16S ribosomal RNA". It matches the Rfam family "Bacterial small subunit ribosomal RNA", at positions 524 to 776 of the family's 1533-position model. The record is from RNAcentral.
UACGUAGGUGGCAAGCGUUGUCCGGAAUUAUUGGGCGUAAAGCGCGCGCAGGCGGUCCUUUAAGUCUGAUGUGAAAGCCCACGGCUCAACCGUGGAGGGUCAUUGGAAACUGGGGGACUUGAGUGCAGAAGAGGAUAGUGGAAUUCCAAGUGUAGCGGUGAAAUGCGUAGAGAUUUGGAGGAACACCAGUGGCGAAGGCGACUAUCUGGUCUGUAACUGACACUGAGGCGCGAAAGCGUGGGGAGCAAACAGG